CAAUCUGCCUUGGAGUGGGGAAUAACGGCUGGAAACAGCCGCUAAUACCGCAUGAUACAGCUGGGCCGCAUGGCUCUGGCUGUCAAAGAUUUAUCGCUCUGAGAUGAGCUCGCGUCUGAUUAGCUAGUUGGCGGGGUAAAGGCCCACCAAGGCGACGAUCAGUAGCCGGACUGAGAGGUUGGCCGGCCACAUUGGGACUGAGACACGGCCCAGACUCCUACGGAAGGCAGCAG
This 233-nucleotide ribosomal RNA is filed under the name uncultured bacterium. RNAcentral describes it as "partial 16S ribosomal RNA". It matches the Rfam family "Bacterial small subunit ribosomal RNA", at positions 122 to 354 of the family's 1533-position model. The record is from RNAcentral.